UACGUAGGGCGCAAGCGUUGUCCGGAAUUAUUGGGCGUAAAGAGCUCGUAGGCGGUUUGUCGCGUCUGCUGUGAAAACCUAAGGCUCAACCUUGGGCUUGCAGUGGGUACGGGCAGAUCUAGAGUGCGGUAGGGGUGACUGGAAUUCCUGGUGAUAGCGGUGGAAUGCGCAGAUAUCAGGAGGAACACCGAGUCGGCGAAGGCAGG
RNAcentral lists this ribosomal RNA (206 nucleotides) under uncultured bacterium. RNAcentral's name for it is "partial 16S ribosomal RNA". It matches the Rfam family "Bacterial small subunit ribosomal RNA", at positions 524 to 725 of the family's 1533-position model. The record is from RNAcentral.